Molecule: ribosomal RNA, 399 nt
Filed under: uncultured bacterium
Lineage: Bacteria
Description: bacterial SSU rRNA
Rfam family: Bacterial small subunit ribosomal RNA
Source: RNAcentral
GGAAUAUUGCACAAUGGGCGAAAGCCUGAUGCAGCGACGCCGCGUGAGUGAAGAAGUAUUUCGGUAUGUAAAGCUCUAUCAGCAGGGAAGAAAAUGACGGUACCUGACUAAGAAGCACCGGCUAAAUACGUGCCAGCAGCCGCGGUAAUACGUAUGGUGCAAGCGUUAUCCGGAUUUACUGGGUGUAAAGGGAGCGUAGACGGCGAGGCAAGUCUGAAGUGAAAGCUCGGGGCUCAACCCCGGAACUGCUUUGGAAACUGUUUUGCUAGAGUGCAGGAGAGGCAAGUGGAAUUCCUAGUGUAGCGGUGAAAUGCGUAGAUAUUAGGAGGAACACCAGUGGCGAAGGCGGCUUGCUGGACUGUAACUGACGUUGAGGCUCGAAAGCGUGGGGAGCAAACA